Ruditapes philippinarum (Manila clam) is the source of this 857-nucleotide long non-coding RNA. RefSeq lists it as uncharacterized. The transcript is spliced from 3 exons. NCBI's taxonomy places the organism in Eukaryota, Metazoa, Mollusca, Bivalvia, Venerida, Veneridae. The record is from RefSeq and is a predicted model, not a curated record.
AAAUAGAGCGUCGUAUGCAUAAUUCAAUAUAUCUGAAAUUAUUUUCAGUUGUUAAUAGACAUAGAAGAAAUUUAUACAUGAAAAGGUGACAUGAAAAAUUUAUCAAUAAACAAACGUGAUUUCUAGUUAUGGUUCAUGAUUGGCGAUGUGUAUGAGUUCAAGAUUUCAUCAACACACCAGAGCCAAUGGGUAUGCCCGAUCAUGUGUUCUGAGGACACUGUGAUGUAUACGAGUUAAAGAUGAACUCCUGUCGGAUUUGUUAACGGCUGUUUGAUGAUCAUACAAAGACAGUUAAAGGCAACGAAAAGGAAUGCAAGGGAAUAAAUGCUGCCAGUGAGAAAUAAAAUGACAGUUUAAAAGUUGAGUAGAAAGAUGUACUGUAACCCACAUUACACUAUAAGAGACACUAAGACAGAAAAAGAAAACACUGAUGCCACCAUUGAGAUCAAUGACUGAUAAGUUUUCAUACAAAAAAGAUUGUUUAUAUUGUGGUCAAUCUUUAAUAAGUAAGGGUAAAACAAGGAAGUGUGAUGUUUCGCCAGUAAGGACACUAGAACCUACUGUUUUGAAUAUAUGUAUACAGAGGAAUGACUGUUUGUCUGAUACAGUGAGAGCAAGGAUAGAACAGGUUCACAACUUGCUUGUAGCCGAUGCUCUUUACCAUCAAACAUGUUUAUGCUCCUCUAAUUUCAGAACUGGAAAAGAUAUACCAGAAGAAUUUCAGGUGCUACCAUCUAGUGAUAAAAAGUGAAAGAUUGGUCGACCAGAAAUUACAGAAGCGAGUGACGCUUUGUAAAAGUCAUGACAUUCUUGUGCUUAUGCUUAGCGAAGAUAUUUUACAAAUUAAAAUUUGCAAA